RNAcentral lists this ribosomal RNA (2902 nucleotides) under Escherichia coli HVH 42 (4-2100061). RNAcentral's name for it is "bacterial LSU rRNA". It matches the Rfam family "Bacterial large subunit ribosomal RNA". Lineage: Bacteria; Pseudomonadati; Pseudomonadota; Gammaproteobacteria; Enterobacterales; Enterobacteriaceae. The record is from RNAcentral.
UUAAGCGACUAAGCGUACACGGUGGAUGCCCUGGCAGUCAGAGGCGAUGAAGGACGUGCUAAUCUGCGAUAAGCGUCGGUGAGGUGAUAUGAACCGUUAUAACCGGCGAUUUCCGAAUGGGGAAACCCAGUGUGUUUCGACACACUAUCAUUAACUGAAUCCAUAGGUUAAUGAGGCGAACCGGGGGAACUGAAACAUCUAAGUACCCCGAGGAAAAGAAAUCAACCGAGAUUCCCCCAGUAGCGGCGAGCGAACGGGGAGGAGCCCAGAGCCUGAAUCAGUGUGUGUGUUAGUGGAAGCGUCUGGAAAGGCGCGCGAUACAGGGUGACAGCCCCGUACACAAAAAUGCACAUAUUGUGAGCUCGAUGAGUAGGGCGGGACACGUGGUAUCCUGUCUGAAUAUGGGGGGACCAUCCUCCAAGGCUAAAUACUCCUGACUGACCGAUAGUGAACCAGUACCGUGAGGGAAAGGCGAAAAGAACCCCGGCGAGGGGAGUGAAAAAGAACCUGAAACCGUGUACGUACAAGCAGUGGGAGCCUCUUUAUGGGGUGACUGCGUACCUUUUGUAUAAUGGGUCAGCGACUUAUAUUCUGUAGCAAGGUUAACCGAAUAGGGGAGCCGAAGGGAAACCGAGUCUUAACUGGGCGUUAAGUUGCAGGGUAUAGACCCGAAACCCGGUGAUCUAGCCAUGGGCAGGUUGAAGAUUGGGUAACACUAACUGGAGGACCGAACCGACUAAUGUUGAAAAAUUAGCGGAUGACUUGUGGCUGGGGGUGAAAGGCCAAUCAAACCGGGAGAUAGCUGGUUCUCCCCGAAAGCUAUUUAGGUAGCGCCUCGUGAAUUCAUCUCCGGGGGUAGAGCACUGUUUCGGCAAGGGGGUCAUCCCGACUUACCAACCCGAUGCAAACUGCGAAUACCGGAGAAUGUUAUCACGGGAGACACACGGCGGGUGCUAACGUCCGUCGUGAAGAGGGAAACAACCCAGACCGCCAGCUAAGGUCCCAAAGUCAUGGUUAAGUGGGAAACGAUGUGGGAAGGCCCAGACAGCCAGGAUGUUGGCUUAGAAGCAGCCAUCAUUUAAAGAAAGCGUAAUAGCUCACUGGUCGAGUCGGCCUGCGCGGAAGAUGUAACGGGGCUAAACCAUGCACCGAAGCUGCGGCAGCGACACUAUGUGUUGUUGGGUAGGGGAGCGUUCUGUAAGCCUGUGAAGGUGGCCUGUGAGGGUUGCUGGAGGUAUCAGAAGUGCGAAUGCUGACAUAAGUAACGAUAAAGCGGGUGAAAAGCCCGCUCGCCGGAAGACCAAGGGUUCCUGUCCAACGUUAAUCGGGGCAGGGUGAGUCGACCCCUAAGGCGAGGCCGAAAGGCGUAGUCGAUGGGAAACAGGUUAAUAUUCCUGUACUUGGUGUUACUGCGAAGGGGGGACGGAGAAGGCUAUGUUGGCCGGGCGACGGUUGUCCCGGUUUAAGCGUGUAGGCUGGUUUUCCAGGCAAAUCCGGAAAACCAAGGCUGAGGCGUGAUGACGAGGCACUACGGUGCUGAAGCGACAAAUGCCCUGCUUCCAGGAAAAGCCUCUAAGCAUCAGGUAACAUCAAAUCGUACCCCAAACCGACACAGGUGGUCAGGUAGAGAAUACCAAGGCGCUUGAGAGAACUCGGGUGAAGGAACUAGGCAAAAUGGUGCCGUAACUUCGGGAGAAGGCACGCUGAUAUGUAGGUGAAGCGACUUGCUCGUGGAGCUGAAAUCAGUCGAAGAUACCAGCUGGCUGCAACUGUUUAUUAAAAACACAGCACUGUGCAAACACGAAAGUGGACGUAUACGGUGUGACGCCUGCCCGGUGCCGGAAGGUUAAUUGAUGGGGUUAGCGGUAACGCGAAGCUCUUGAUCGAAGCCCCGGUAAACGGCGGCCGUAACUAUAACGGUCCUAAGGUAGCGAAAUUCCUUGUCGGGUAAGUUCCGACCUGCACGAAUGGCGUAAUGAUGGCCAGGCUGUCUCCACCCGAGACUCAGUGAAAUUGAACUCGCUGUGAAGAUGCAGUGUACCCGCGGCAAGACGGAAAGACCCCGUGAACCUUUACUAUAGCUUGACACUGAACAUUGAGCCUUGAUGUGUAGGAUAGGUGGGAGGCUUUGAAGUGUGGACGCCAGUCUGCAUGGAGCCGACCUUGAAAUACCACCCUUUAAUGUUUGAUGUUCUAACGUUGGCCCGUAAUCCGGGUUGCGGACAGUGUCUGGUGGGUAGUUUGACUGGGGCGGUCUCCUCCUAAAGAGUAACGGAGGAGCACGAAGGUUGGCUAAUCCUGGUCGGACAUCAGGAGGUUAGUGCAAUGGCAUAAGCCAGCUUGACUGCGAGCGUGACGGCGCGAGCAGGUGCGAAAGCAGGUCAUAGUGAUCCGGUGGUUCUGAAUGGAAGGGCCAUCGCUCAACGGAUAAAAGGUACUCCGGGGAUAACAGGCUGAUACCGCCCAAGAGUUCAUAUCGACGGCGGUGUUUGGCACCUCGAUGUCGGCUCAUCACAUCCUGGGGCUGAAGUAGGUCCCAAGGGUAUGGCUGUUCGCCAUUUAAAGUGGUACGCGAGCUGGGUUUAGAACGUCGUGAGACAGUUCGGUCCCUAUCUGCCGUGGGCGCUGGAGAACUGAGGGGGGCUGCUCCUAGUACGAGAGGACCGGAGUGGACGCAUCACUGGUGUUCGGGUUGUCAUGCCAAUGGCACUGCCCGGUAGCUAAAUGCGGAAGAGAUAAGUGCUGAAAGCAUCUAAGCACGAAACUUGCCCCGAGAUGAGUUCUCCCUGAGACUUAGAGUCUCCUGAAGGAACGUUGAAGACGACGACGUUGAUAGGCCGGGUGUGUAAGCGCAGCGAUGCGUUGAGCUAACCGGUACUAAUGAACCGUGAGGCUUAACCUU